GCGACCGGCCACACUGGGACUGAGACACGGCCCAGACUCCUGCGGGAGGCAGCAGUGGGGAAUAUUGCGCAAUGGGCGAAAGCCUGACGCAGCGACGCCGCGUGGGGGAUGACGGCCUUCGGGUUGUAAACCUCUUUUACCACCAACGCAGGCUCCGGGUUCUCUCGGGGUUGACGGUAGGUGGGGAAUAAGGACCGGCUAACUACGUGCCAGCAGCCGCGGUAAUACGUAGGGUCCGAGCGUUGUCCGGAAUUAUUGGGCGUAAAGAGCUCGUAGGCGGCGUGUCGCGUCUGCUGUGAAAGACCGGGGCUUAACUCCGGUUCUGCAGUGGAUACGGGCAUGCUAGAGGUAGGUAGGGGAGACUGGAAUUCCUGGUGUAGCGGUGAAAUGCGCAGAUAUCAGGAGGAACACCGGUGGCGAAGGCGGGUCUCUGGGCCUUACCUGACGCUGAGGAGCGAAAGCAUGGGGAGCGAACAGGAUUAGAUACCCUGGUAGUCCAUGCCGUAAACGUUGGGCGCUAGGUGUGGGGACUUUCCACGGUUUCCGCGCCGUAGCUAACGCAUUAAGCGCCCCGCG
This 576-nucleotide ribosomal RNA is filed under the name Nocardiopsis sp. CKS_06. RNAcentral's name for it is "bacterial SSU rRNA". It matches the Rfam family "Bacterial small subunit ribosomal RNA", at positions 300 to 873 of the family's 1533-position model. Lineage: Bacteria; Bacillati; Actinomycetota; Actinomycetes; Streptosporangiales; Nocardiopsidaceae. The record is from RNAcentral.